GUCGAUCUGCUCCAUGAAAUAUAUUUAAAUAGCUGCAGUAUUUUGACUGUACAAAGGUAGCAUAAUAAAUUGUCUUUUAAUUGAAGAAUUGAAUGAAUGAAUUGAUGAAAUAACAACUGUCUCUAUUUUAUUUAAUGAAUUUAAAUUUUUAGUAAAAAUUCUAAAAUUUAAUUAUGGGACGAUAAGACCCUAUAGAAUUUUAUUUAAUAUAGUUAUUUAUUUAAAUUAUUCUUGAAUAUAUAAUUAAUUUAAAUUUGAUUGGGAGGAUUGGUAAAUAAAAAUAACUUUAUCUAAAAAUUAAUUUUGAUGAAAAGAUAUAUUUUUGACUUAUAAAUUAUGAUUAAAAGAAUAAAUUACCUUAGGGAUAACAGCGUAAUAUCUUUUGAUAGACCACAUUGAUAAAGAUGUUUGCGACCUCGAUGUUGAAUUAAGAGAAAAGUUAAACGCAGGAGUUUAAAAUUUUAAGUCUG
Molecule: ribosomal RNA, 470 nt
Filed under: Apis nigrocincta
Lineage: Eukaryota; Metazoa; Arthropoda; Insecta; Hymenoptera; Apidae
Description: partial 16S large subunit ribosomal RNA
Source: RNAcentral